This 497-nucleotide ribosomal RNA is filed under the name uncultured bacterium. Its description in RNAcentral is "partial 16S ribosomal RNA". It matches the Rfam family "Bacterial small subunit ribosomal RNA", at positions 35 to 507 of the family's 1533-position model. The record is from RNAcentral.
GGGGGGGGGUGGGGGGGGGGGGGGGGCGGGGGGGGCGGGCGGGGGGGCGGGGGGCUGGCGUCUCGGGUGGUCGCGGCGGCCGGGUGGGUAACCCGUGGAUGACCUACCUAUAGGGCUGGGCUAACGUCGGGACACCGGAGCUAAUACCGGAUACUCUGUUGGACCGCGUGGGUCCAACGUACAAGCCGGUGUUGCUGUCCCUUCUCGAUGGAUCCGCGCUGCAUUAGCUAGUUGGUAAGGUACCGGCUUACCAAGGCAACGAUGCCUAGCCGACCUGCCAGGGUGAUCGGCCACACUGGAACUGAGACACGGUCCAGACUCCUACGGGAGGCAGCAGUAGGGAAUCUUGCGCAAUGGGCGAAAGCCUGACGGAGCAACGCCGCGUGAGUGAUGAAGGUCUUCGGAUCGUAAAACUCUGUUAUUAGGGAAGAACAUAUGUGUAAGUAACUGUGCACAUCUUGACGGUACCUAAUCAGAAAGCCACGGCUAACUAUGUG